AUCUUGUUUUGUUGUUUUUUUUUUCUUAACAGAUGGGAUGCAAAAGAAGGUGAGGACACGUCUUUUCUGAAGGAUGAUCCUGACAGCCAGAGGAACCUUGGUACAGACAAGCAGAAAAGCAAAGGUGAAGAGGUAGUGGAAGAGAACUGCACAGCUGAGUUGGAGGAGAAGGUGAAACCACCGAGCCUUCAAGAGCAUGGGAGGAGAAGUGGGAAGGCCUGGCCUACCCACAGUGGACAGAAGGAGGAAAGGAGAAGAGUGAAGGGGCUCAGCAAGGAGGUCUCUGAGGCCAGCACAGGUGACUUGGAGCCGAGGCCCAAGGCAAGUAAGGAACAUAUUGAGGAAGAUGCUAGCAGGAAGCCUGGCACUGCUGAUAUCCCCCAGGAGAAGGAGAGCACAAAUAGCAGUGCUUCACAAAGUAGCCUUCCAAGUGCUGUGCAAGCCACUAAGCACAGCAGCGAGGAGACCUUGUUAUUGCCCGUGGGAGCUGAUUUAGAUGGAGGUGGCUUAGAGAAAAAGGCAGCUUCUGAAUGGGAAUCCACUGAGGACUCUUCAAACAGCCAUGGAGGAAAGUUGGACACAGAUGCAGGAGACAGACUGGAUGCAGAUCAAGGACAGCUGGUGGGAAAAAGAGGGGAAGAAGUGGCCCAAAACACUGCCCUUGAGGGACAAACACUUGCUCUGAAAGGAGUUGAAGAUGCUGAAGACACUAAACACACAGGAGAGCCUUUGCCCACAAAGAAAGACAACUCCAAUGAGACUGUUGUUCCUGAGCAGGAUAUGGUGAAACUACAGUCCAGGGAAGGGGACCAGCCUGAGGAUGGCAAGGACAAGGACAGUGGGGACAAUCUCAACUAGCAAAUAAUGCACCAGUUUGCCUGAGAUGGAAGGAUAAUGUGCUGAAGGUGGUGGAUGAGAAGAGGAGCACAACGUUAGCCUCACUCUUUGAUCUUCUAUGAAAUCAACUUUCAGCACCUUCCCUGUACCCUUCAUCACCCCCAGCUCAGUUUCAGCAUCAGCCCUUGCUCUCCAUACGGGCAGGGAAGGCUACCCACACUUCUCACAAGAAAAACACCAUCACUUUUCUUUUGUAUUUGUUUUGCCUAUAUUGCAGCUGUGUGGCAAGCCAAUGAAAUGUCUACUGUAUGCACUUUAUUUUGUUUAAUAACUAAUUCUGUUUAAAGUUAAGAUUUUUCCUUCUGGGCAGCCUACCCACUUCCUCCCCAGAGGCUGGCAGGGAAGCACAUGUGCCAGUAAGGACAGCAGGGGCUGCUGGGCUCUCCAGAGCAGACAAGAGACAAAGCAGAGCACUAGGAGACAGCACGAGAGGCUGUGUCGUAACUCAGUAGGCGGGUGAAGCAGGGCAGCUCUUGUAAUAGAGAUCUGUAUGUAGUUGAAGUGGUGGUGGGCACGUACAGUAGUUGCAUGGGUCACAGGCACAAAGAAGACAGAGUGUUCUUGGGUUACACUGUUGAGCACGGUUGCUUUUGACAAGUGCAUGUCAGCUAUGGCAUCUCAUCCUUUCAGAGGCCACUCUACUCCUCCAGCUAGAUAAGGUAGGGUAGAAACAUCACAACACUCUCAGACAUAGGGUUAGGAUUUUGGUUCAUCCUGUAUGGAGCCAGUAGUUGGAUCCCUGUGGGUCCCUUCCAACUUGGGUUGUUUGAUGGUUCUAUGUCAGGAGAGCACAGUUUUUUCUUAUGAAAGGUAGCUGCUAUAUUGAUGAGGUGAAGCUUGGCAAGUACUGCUGCCUAAGACCAAGAAGUACAAAAGCUGCAGUGGCUGGGGAUACAGCUCUGCAUCAAGUGGGACAAGGAGUAGAGCAGCACAAACGCAAUACCCUUCCUUCUUUAACAGCAAGGAAGGAGCUGGCAGCAAGGAACACAGCCAAACCGGAGCUGCAAGUCAGAGCUUCCUGUCAAGUGCCAACCUUCAUGGUUGUCCAUUCAAAGCCUUGGGCCUGAACAAGAAGGUAACUGCUCCCUUGGAAGCUACCAAGCAUAAUUUUUGAGCAAACCUUAAAAGAUACCUUUCAGAUUAAGGAGCUGGAUGAUCAUUACAAGCACAAAUGAGCAAAAACCCCAGCUUGGGUUCCCAAGCAACUGUAAGAAACAGCAAACAGCAACUACCAAAAUAUUGCUACUAUUAAGGAGCAGGCAAAAAGCAGGCACAAGUGCUUAGAUUUUUAAGUGACAGCAAAGCAAGGAUAUCACCCUUCCUUUGAAUCACUGCCCUAAAACCUGAAGCAGUUUCAGGAGUCAACUGCAGACACGUAUGCGCGGAAAUUUACUGGAUUUCAUUGCAAGAUGCAUUUGCUAGCCAAAAUGGCAGGCUGCCUUGGUGAUAAGGUUGGCAUAUGUGGUGGACUGAAAUACUGUAUGCUGUUUUAAUAAACUAGUAUUUGCACAUAUAAACA
Chrysolophus pictus (golden pheasant) is the source of this 2416-nucleotide long non-coding RNA. The record is from Ensembl. Lineage: Eukaryota; Metazoa; Chordata; Aves; Galliformes; Phasianidae.